GAAGCAGGAGGAUCGCAAGUUUGAGGACAGCCUGGACAAUAGCCCUGCCUUGAAAUAAAAGUAGAAAGGGGCUGGGUAUUCGGCUCAGGAUAGAGCAUCCCGGCACAUGCAGGGGCAGAGGCGUCCCUCCUGGGGACACACGGCUGCCACCGACCUGCUUCCUUGUCACUCAUUUAUUCUUUUUUCUUGCACAAACCACACGUGUGACGAGUCCUGGCACACUGCCCUGUGCCUGGCCUUUGUGCAGUGACAGAGCAUCCGGUAGAUGCUGCAGGACAGACUAAGAAAGCAGCUUUAGAAAGUCAGGGCAACAGCCAGUGGUGGGCAGGCGAGUCACCAGCAGGGCGUUGGAGGAAAGCUUGGAAAAGUAUUUUAGGCUGCUGUGUUAGGAGGGGCAGGAGGAGGGGCCGGGCUCCUGGAGGUGACCCUGGGCUCCUUGCCCCACCACCGAAGUAGGUCACUGUGAGCACAGGGAGGCGCCGCGCUGUGUGGGAGGCACGGAUCUGGCGGGGCUGCGAUGCCAUCUGUGACUGCAGACUCCCAGGUUGCUGGUGGGGAGGAGCGGCUUGUCUAAGCGCCUGGCCUUACAGAUGGUGAAGCUGAGCCCAGAGGCAGAGGGACUGUUCCUGAGGUCACUAGCCAGGUGGGGACGGAGCAGGGGACCUGAGCCUGCGGGUCCCACCUUUGGCUGCAGCCCUUUUAAGGGUGCCAGGUUGCCUGAAAAGUUGUAUCUGGAUGCCCAGAUUUUACUCUGCCUUUUCUUCCUGCCUUGUGUAUCUAUCGCCCCUCUGCAAUUGAAAAUAAGAGCAUAGACACUGGGCUGUGGUACUGGCUUUGCUCUCCACCCCUUAGGGCUUUGACAGGGCAGCUGUGACCACAGGGCAGUACAGUCCACCUUGUAGAGGAUGGAUUGGUGGUGGUCUUGAGUUGUGCAGUGCACGGCCAUGCAAACUGUACCUAGCAGUCCUGGCUGUGAAGGGCUAAGUGACAUCAUGCCAUCAUGCCUGUCAAUCCAUUAGCAUAUGAAGAGAUCAUCAAAUGUUGGCCAUUAUUAUCUGCAUUUUUUGAUUUGUUUUGAGACAGGGUCUUGCUGUGUAGUCCACACUGGACUUGAGCUCAUUAUGUAGCCCAAGCUGUCCUCAAACUUGUAGUGAUCCUCUUGCCUCAGCUUUCCAAGUGUUGAGAUUACAGGUGUGCACUACCAUGCCUGGCUAUUAUUAUCUUUAUUUUUUUUUUGUUAUCAUGAAGAACCGGCUGUCUUAUCUUUUUUUUUUUUUGGUACCGGGGAUCGAACCCGGGUCCUUGCACUUGCACAGCAGGCAGCGAAACCACUGAGCUAAAUCCCCGGCCCAGCUGUCUUAUCUUUGAAGCAGCAAGGAAUGGAAGAGCUGAGUAGGAAAGUCAUCUUUUCAUCGUUUUCUUCUGUUAUUAAAGGUAACCAGAGCACUCAGUACAGAAAACCUGGAAAACGCAUAAGGAGACACAAAAUGACAAAAAAUAACAAGCCCACAUCCAGAACCACCCUUUUGACAUAUGGUGUAUGUUUUUCCAGGCUUUCAUUCCCUGUUUGUCUCUUUCACACAUUAGGAAAUUUUGCUUUCCUGUGGGAAGUCUGGCCUCCGCCCUCAGCUUUGAGGAGAGGACCCAGCACAGUGACCAAGAACAUGAAUUCUAUGUCUCCAUCACCUAGUUUCACAUGCCAGCUCUCACCUGCCUGCUGUGUGACCUUGGGCAAGACAGGGACAGGGACGGCCCCAGCACCAGGCAGCUGCAUCCUGGUCCGUCUUGGGCACACCUGCCCGUUCGACCGGGAUCUGGAGCCAGCCCCAAGUACUGACAGGCAGGCGGCUGGGCACCCUGGAUCACAGGGACCUGAUGAGGACAAGAGGCAGAACUUGAAGCACUGAUCCACUUGUCUGAGCCCUCAGAUGGAGACCAGAGAGAUUGGGCUGGGCAUGGGUGAGUGUGUUGGGGGACAUGAGGGUCUGUCCAGCAAGGUAGCCGGAUGCCUACCUUUCCGUGAGGGGGCUUCAGAAGCAGCUCCUUGCUGGAAGAAGGACCAGAACUCCUUUGUCAGAGAGCCCUGCACUAUUGUUUGAGAAAGCACUGGUCAUCUCCAUCCAAGAGCUGGCUGUGAGGCUGUCAUGGUUUGUGUUUGGCCCGAAGACCCUGAGAUGAAGAUAGCAGAGUGGAGAAGUGGUUCAGACGAGGGAAGGCAGCAAUGAAGUGUAUCGGGGAUGCUUGGGCCGGGGAUUUAGCUCAGUGGUUCUGCCGCCUGCCUUGCAAGCGCAAGGACCCGAGUGAUCCCCAGUACCAAAAAAACCCAACAAAAAAACCCCCAAACAACUAAGAAGACCUCAGACAACCCAGGGUGUGAUGGUCACCUUAACCUCAGGGGAAGAGCAACCAGGAUGCUAAAGCCCAUUUGUCACUGGUGGGGUUGCUCAGUGGCAGAGCACGUCCUUACCAAGCUUGCAGUCCUGGAUUCAAUUGCCUAGAACUAAAGAAAAAAACCAAACCAAAACAACAAUUAAACAGCAACAAAACCAGAAAGGCUAAAAAAUUUUUUACAGAUGAUAAAGACGUUUUGGACUUAGUGGUGGUGGUUCCACAUUGCAAAAUUUUAUGAAUAUGUUAAAAGACACUAAACUAUAUACUUUAGAAGGAUAAAUUUUAUGGGAUGUACAUUAUAAACCAUUUCAAAACUGACUCAGCCAAGCAUGGUAAGCCAUGCUUCUCAUCCCAGCUACUUGGGAGACAGAAGCAGGAGGAUCUCAAGUUCAGGCCAGCUGGGCCAACUUAGCAAGACCCAUAAAUACAUAAAUAAAUAAAUAAAAAUAAAGCUAGAUGAUAGAUCAGUGGAAUAGGAUUGGGAAUCCAGGUAUAACUCUUAUUUUUAUGACCCUUAACUUGAUUACAUCUGUGAAAACCUCUUUUUAAAUCACUAUACAAUCACAUUCGCAGCAGUUUCUUCAGAUUAGGACAUUUUUGUCACUCAUGGGGGUACCACACCCCCACCUUACAGAAGGGAAAACUGAGUUACUCAUUAGAGAAAUACAGUUAGUGACAGCAGGACAGAGAUGUGAACCUGGCCCAUCUGGCUCCAGAGCCCAUGUUGUGAAGCAAAAAGAAUGGAAGGGACAAGUCCAGGCCAGAUGUCUCCAGCUUCAUGGCGAGGGGUGCACAGGAGGAAAGAGACCAGUGUCACAACGACCAGUUAGGAGGAAGAUCCAGAAAGGAUCCAGAGAUAUCCAGAAAGACACCAAGAAAGACCUGGACUAAACUUAGUGAUAAAAUGAAGGGGGAGAAGGAGCAGAAAGCCUGGGUCCCAUCCAGUCAUUGCUUCCUCCUGGCCUUCCAUCUGCUGGGCCAAAUGGUCCACUGGGGCUUCCAAACAUAGUUUCACUGUUUCACUGGGGGCUGGAUGAUAAAGGUAUCACAGAGGGCUGUGACCUGUCCCCAGAAAGGAAGCUAGGACAUUUCUUACCUCUUUGCUUCUCUCUGGACAUACAUUUAAGUAAAACCAGAGAAGAUGACCCUCCAAAGGUGGUUAGACUUGAUAUAUCUCGUCCUGUCAAGGUAACACAUGAAAUGGACCAUCAGAAGUCAAAGUCUGUCUUAGUUGACUAGGGUUUCCCUAACAAAAUACCAUAGGCUCACUGGGUUUAUCUACUGAUUCUCAGUUCUGGAACCUGGAAGUAUGAUAUCAAGGCUGGUGUGGUCAGGUUCUGGUGAGGGCUCUCUUUCUGGUUUGGAGAUGGCUGCCUUCUCACUGUGUCCUCUUAUGGGAGGGAGGGAGGGAGGGAGGGAGGGAGAGAGAUAUCUAGAGUGUCUUCCUCUCCUUACAAGGGCAAUAAUCCUAUGAUGAAGGCCCCAACUCUAAGACCUUUUCUAAACUCAGCUCUCUCCCCAAG
This 3914-nucleotide long non-coding RNA is filed under the name Heterocephalus glaber (naked mole-rat). RNAcentral's name for it is "lncRNA (ENSHGLG00000041016.1)". The record is from RNAcentral. Lineage: Eukaryota; Metazoa; Chordata; Mammalia; Rodentia; Bathyergidae.